GAACGUUGGCGGCGUGCCUAACACAUGCAAGUCGAGCGGACCAGAAAUGGAGGUAACUUUAUUUCUGGUUAGCGGCGAACGGGUGAGUAACACGUGGGUAACCUGCCCUCAGGAGGAGGAUAACUCGGGGAAACCUGAGCUAAUACUCCAUAAGACCACGAGCUGAAAUGCUUGUGGCAAAAGAAGCAAUUCACCUGAGGAUGGGCCCGCGGCCUAUCAGGUAGUUGGUAGGGUAAUGGCCUACCAAGCCUAUGACGGGUAGCCGAGCUGAGAGGCUGGCCGGCCACACUGGGACUGAGACACGGCCCAGACUCCUACGGGAGGCAGCAGUGGGGAAUAUUGGGCAAUGGGCGAAAGCCUGACCCAGCGACGCCGCGUGGGGGAAGAAGGCCUUCGGGUUGUAAACCCCUUUUGCAGGGGACGACACAGGACGGUACCCUGCGAAUAAGCCACGGCUAACUCUGUGCCAGCAGCCGCGGUAAGACAGAGGUGGCAAGCGUUGCUCGGAUUCACU
This 514-nucleotide ribosomal RNA is filed under the name uncultured bacterium. Its description in RNAcentral is "bacterial SSU rRNA". It matches the Rfam family "Bacterial small subunit ribosomal RNA", at positions 31 to 555 of the family's 1533-position model. The record is from RNAcentral.